UUCUUUUCUGUAUACGAUAUCUCCUUCCCCUUUCUCUUUAAAAUUCUAUUUUAUUCUUAUUUUUAUCUAUAAUAAUAAUAAGGUCCUGCCCCGUUUUAAGUAUUGUAACUCCCGAUCACCGCUACCCUUUCCGAUUGAUCUGAGUCUCAUAACAUAUGUCCGGGCUCUGCCCGACUAAGUUGUUGGGAUUCUAUCUCGGGACUUCGGGACAAGGUUGAAUUAGGGGUACUAUGCUUACCACGAGUGCAAUAUAUAUUUUUAAUAGCCCAUAAGUUAUACCCAAAAUUUAUACCAGGAGAUUUUCUAGUUGAACCCUAAAAUUACACAGUGGGUCCAUUCUCUUUUCUCACUAUUUUAUUCCCUUUUUCUUUAUAAUAUAAUUAUACUCAAAAAUAUCCCAAAUUGAUCCGUUAGUAAAAACCCGGACCCCUGAAACCCCAAAUCAUACCAACAAUCAAGAAAUCAAGAAUUCUUGUCUUCAGGCGGGCCGCGUAAAGAUAAGCCGAGGCUUACGCGGGCCGCGCCAGCAAGGCGGAUUUCCGGAUAAGCUUGAGGGACACGUGGCAUCCACCUGGCAGACCUACUGGUGACUCAGCAACCCUACGCGUAGACUAGGCGGCUACGCGGGCCGCGUAAGAAUCAAGCCAAGGCUCACGCAGGCCGCGUGAGACCCAAUUUUCAGCUAUAAAUAGGACAGGCCACGAGCUUUCAGUUGAUGUCGAAACCAAAACUCGAAAAUAUAUUCCCACUGCUCAAAACCACAAAUUAGCAUAACGGGGUGCUGCUACGAUACAGGGUAUUAACUCGGUCGCUAUUACGAUUCAAUAUCCGAUCGACUGAAACUAUCCGACAGGAUGUUUAAGUGCUAUCCUUUGUCAUUAGUCGUGAUUCCGACAGGAUGUUUGAGUGCCGCCCAAACUCGGGGUAGACUCUGUCAUUCGUUGUGAAUCCGAUGAAUGUUUAAGUGAUUGCACUUUGUCAUUCGUUGUGAGGGUUUUAAUCUUGUGAGUUAUCGUAAAUGUUGUCUUAGUUACUUACCUAGUUCGUGUGCACUAGGUUACAAGGCUAAUCUAUAGGCUAAGCUCUGCCUGUAUUAAUCUGCAAUAUCAAGGCUUAUCUAUAGACUAAACUUUGCCCGUAUGAAUCUGCAUGCUUAUAAUGUAAUUACAGUAGAUUGGAGUAAGAAUUGGAUUCGGCACUGAAAGACUUCAAGAAGUGGCUUAUUUUGUUAAUUAAAUCAAAUUAAGAAAUAUUGUUUUAUGUAAUAAAAUUUAUCUUUAUUAAAGCUACCAUUGUAAACCAUGGGUUUAUCCCAUCUAUUUAAUAAAUAAAAAUCCGGUGUUUUUAAACUCUG
Molecule: long non-coding RNA, 1354 nt
Filed under: Helianthus annuus (common sunflower)
Lineage: Eukaryota; Viridiplantae; Streptophyta; Magnoliopsida; Asterales; Asteraceae
Description: hypothetical non coding rna
Source: RNAcentral